CCUACGGGAGGCAGCAGUGGGGAAUAUUGCACAAUGGGGGAAACCCUGAUGCAGCGACGCCGCGUGAGUGAAGAAGUAUCUCGGUAUGUAAAGCUCUAUCAGCAGGGAAGAAAAUGACGGUACCUGACUAAGAAGCCCCGGCUAACUACGUGCCAGCAGCCGCGGGAAUACGUAGGGGGCAAGCGUUAUCCGGAUUUACUGGGUGGAAAGGGAGCGUAGACGGCGCUGCAAGUCCGGAGUGAAAGCCCAUGGCUUAACCAUGGUACUGCUCUGGAAACUGGGGAGCUGGAGUGCGGGAGGGGCAGGCGGAAUUCCUAGUGUAGCGGUGAAAUGCGUAGAUAUUAGGAGGAACACCGGCGGCGAAGGCGGCCUGCUGGAACGUAACUGACGUUGAGGCGCGAAAGCGUGGGGAGCAAACAGGAUUAGAUACCCUAGUAGUC
RNAcentral lists this ribosomal RNA (440 nucleotides) under uncultured bacterium. Its description in RNAcentral is "partial 16S ribosomal RNA". It matches the Rfam family "Bacterial small subunit ribosomal RNA", at positions 338 to 795 of the family's 1533-position model. The record is from RNAcentral.